This 234-nucleotide ribosomal RNA is filed under the name uncultured bacterium. RNAcentral describes it as "partial 16S ribosomal RNA". It matches the Rfam family "Bacterial small subunit ribosomal RNA", at positions 103 to 334 of the family's 1533-position model. The record is from RNAcentral.
CGGGUGAGUAACGCGUGGUCAACCUUCCGUUGAAUGGGGGAUAACUAGCCGAAAGGUUAGCUAAUACCGCAUACGAUCUUUUGAAGGCAUCUUUAAAAGAUGAAAGGAGCAAUUCGUUCAACGACGGGACCGCGUCCCAUUAGCUAGAUGGUGGGGGUAAUGGCCUACCAUGGCAACGAUGGGUAGCUGGUUUGAGAGAGCGACCAGCCACACUGGGACUGAGAGACGGCCCAG